This 611-nucleotide transfer RNA is filed under the name Mesorhizobium amorphae. Its description in RNAcentral is "partial 16S-23S ribosomal RNA intergenic spacer". The stretch from base 155 to 228 matches the Rfam family "tRNA". The record is from RNAcentral. Lineage: Bacteria; Pseudomonadati; Pseudomonadota; Alphaproteobacteria; Hyphomicrobiales; Phyllobacteriaceae.
AACAAGACAGAAGAUAGUCAAUCUUACUGUCGCGCAUACCUGAAGCGGGUCUGCCGCCUUCGUUUCUCUUUCUUCGCGAAUGACUAACCUCCCUUUGGCUAUGCCCACAAGGCGUGCCUUGCCGGUGCAAAUGGUGCCAGCAGGGUUCGGUUUAGGGCUUGUAGCUCAGUUGGUUAGAGCGCGCGCUUGAUAAGCGUGAGGUCGGAGGUUCAAGUCCUCCCAGGCCCACCAUUAACAGUGCAACCCGAAGGGUUGUCGCUGCCGGUCACUACGAUCGGGAGGCUAUCAGGGGCCGUAGCUCAGCUGGGAGAGCGCCUGCUUUGCAAGCAGGAUGUCGUCGGUUCGAUCCCGUCCGGCUCCACCAACACGCGAUCCGCAGGAUCGCCCUGAAGUCUUGAGCAGAGAUUGAUGGCAAAGUCAUUCCAAAAUGAGUUUGCUGAGAUCUUAACGCUCCCCGCCUGUUCUGUUUGAUAUCGUAUAGAUAAGAUUUGAUCUAACUUCACGGUCCGCGAGCAGCGUGAUUUGUCGCAGGGAAUACUCGUUCCCUUGCCUAUGACGGGUAAGCCUAACCGCGCCCUCGAACCAAUCUCGAUCAAGCUGGUCUUUUUGUG